RNAcentral lists this ribosomal RNA (95 nucleotides) under uncultured bacterium. Its description in RNAcentral is "partial 16S ribosomal RNA". The record is from RNAcentral.
UACACACCGCCCGUCACACCAUGGGAGUCGUUUGCUCCAGAAGUGCCUGAGCCAACCGCAAGGAGGCAGGUCCAAGAGUGAACGGUAACUGGGUG